AACAAGAAACACGGGAGCGGUUCCUCCUCACACUUUCCACGCAUGUCAUGCAUGCGAGGGGGCGUCCGUGAAUUUUACUGUGACCAAAAAAGUGCGACCAAAGCAGUCCGCCGACUUGAAUUACAAAGCAUGGGAUAACGAAGCAUCAGCCCUAGGGCCACCGUUUCGGCUUUUGUUGGUUUUAGCAGCCAUUGGGAGAUUAUGGGAGCCCGUGCCCGGGGCUAUGCCCACGCCUCAUGGCGUGCCUGGCAUAUUCGCCCCUUCUCCCCCCUGCGCGCCUCCCCUGGUGGGGAGAGUGUGGUGGGGGGGGAGACGCGCGGUUCCCAGGAAUGAAGGAGGGUAGUCCGGGGGAGAACGUACUGGUGCGUCAGAAGUGAAAUUCUUAGACCGCACCAAGACGAACUACAGCGAAGGCAUUCUUCAAGGAUACUUUCCUCAAUCAAGAACCAAAGUGUGGGGAUCAAAGAUGAUUAGAGAUCAUUGUAGUCCACACUGCAAACCAUGACACCCAUGAAUUGGGGAGCGCUACUGUGGUUCCCCGUGCUUCGGCGUCUUCGUGACGCCGUCUCACGGUCCCAGUACUUAACAUUUACGUGCCUAUUCUUAUAUUCCGCCUGGCGUGCUUCGUUGUACGCCAUGGCGGUUCUUACGGGAAUAUCCUCAGCAC
RNAcentral lists this ribosomal RNA (667 nucleotides) under Trypanosoma suis. RNAcentral describes it as "SSU rRNA". It matches the Rfam family "Eukaryotic small subunit ribosomal RNA", at positions 678 to 1086 of the family's 1831-position model. The record is from RNAcentral. Lineage: Eukaryota; Euglenozoa; Kinetoplastea; Trypanosomatida; Trypanosomatidae.